This 439-nucleotide ribosomal RNA is filed under the name uncultured bacterium. Its description in RNAcentral is "partial 16S ribosomal RNA". It matches the Rfam family "Bacterial small subunit ribosomal RNA", at positions 339 to 795 of the family's 1533-position model. The record is from RNAcentral.
CUACGGGAUGCUGCAGUGAGGAAUAUUGGACAAUGGAGGAAACUCUGAUCCAGCCAUGCCGCGUGAGUGAAGAAGGCCUUAGGGUUGUAAAGCUCUUUCAAUAGCGAAGAUAAUGACGGUAGCUAUAGAAGAAGCUCCGGCUAAAUUCGUGCCAGCAGCCGCGGUAAUACGAAUGGAGCAAGCGUUGUUCGGAAUCACUGGGCUUAAAGCGUGCGCAGGCGGAAACGAAAGUCAGAAGUGAAAUCCCAGGGCUCAACCUUGGAACUGCUUUUGAAACUUCGUUUCUAGAAUCCGAUAGAGGUAAGGAGAAUUCCUAGUGUAGAGGUGAAAUUCGCAGAUAUUAGGAGGAAUACCAGUGGCGUAGGCGCCUUACUGGGUCGGUAUUGACGCUCAUGUACGAAAGCGUGGGGAGCAAACAGGAUUAGAUACCCCAGUAGUC